RNAcentral lists this ribosomal RNA (497 nucleotides) under uncultured bacterium. Its description in RNAcentral is "partial 16S ribosomal RNA". It matches the Rfam family "Bacterial small subunit ribosomal RNA", at positions 28 to 507 of the family's 1533-position model. The record is from RNAcentral.
GAUGAACGCUGGCGGCGUGCCUAACACAUGCAAGUCGAGCGAACGGACGAGAAGCUUGCUUCUCUGAUGUUAGCGGCGGACGGGUGAGUAACACGUGGAUAACCUACCUAUAAGACUGGGAUCACUUCGGGAAACCGGAGCUAAUACCGGCUAAUAUUUUGAACCGCAGGGUUCACAAGUGAAAGACGGUCUUGCUGUCACUUAUAGAUGGAUCCGCGCUGCAUUAGCUAGUUGGUAAGGUAACGGCUUACCAAGGCAACGAUGCAUAGCCGACCUGAGAGGGUGAUCGGCCACACUGGAACCGAGACACGGUCCAGACUCCUACGGGAGGCAGCAGUAGGGAAUCUUCCGCAAUGGGCGAAAGCCUGACGGAGCAACGCCGCGUGAGUGAUGAAGGUCUUCGGAUCGUAAAACUCUGUUAGUAGGGAAGAAGAUAUGUGUAUGUAACUGUGCACAUCUUGACGGUACCUAAACAGAAAGCCACGGCUAACUACGUG